Mycena leptocephala is the source of this 68-nucleotide non-coding RNA. NCBI's taxonomy places the organism in Eukaryota, Fungi, Basidiomycota, Agaricomycetes, Agaricales, Mycenaceae. The record is from the annotation of a GenBank genome assembly.
GUCUCUUUGGUGUAGUGGUAACAUGGCCUUUUGUUAAGCCAGUGCCGUGGGUUCGAAUCCCACUGACA